UGGGGAAUCUUGGACAAUGGGGGCAACCCUGAUCCAGCGAUGCCGCGUGAGUGAAGAAGGCCUUCGGGUCGUAAAGCUCUUUAGGUUGGGACGAAGUGUGCGGGAGGAAAUGCCCGUAUAUUGACGGUACCGACAGAAUAAGCACCGGCAAACUCUGUGCCAGCAGCCGCGGUAAUACAGAGGGUGCAAGCGUUAAUCGGAGUUACUGGGCGUAAAGGGCGCGUAGGCGGUGAUAUGAGUGUGAUGUGAAAGCCCCGGGCUUAACCUGGGAAGUGCAUCGCAAACGAUAUGACUGGAGUAGAUGAGAGGGUGGCGGAAUUUCCGGUGUAGCGGUGAAAUGCGUAGAGGUCGGAAGGAACGUCAAUGGCGAAGGCAGCCACCUGGCAUCAUACUGACGCUGAGGCGCGAAAGCGUGGGGAGCGAACAGGAUUAGAUACCCUGGUAGUCCACGCUGUAAACGAUGAGGACUGGAUGUUGGUAGGGGAACCUAUCAGUAUCGAAGCUAACGCGAUAAGUCUUCCGCCUGGGAAGUACGGCCGCAAGGUUGA
Molecule: ribosomal RNA, 548 nt
Filed under: uncultured Aquicella sp.
Lineage: Bacteria; Pseudomonadati; Pseudomonadota; Gammaproteobacteria; Legionellales; Coxiellaceae
Description: bacterial SSU rRNA
Rfam family: Bacterial small subunit ribosomal RNA
Source: RNAcentral